RNAcentral lists this ribosomal RNA (265 nucleotides) under uncultured archaeon. Its description in RNAcentral is "partial 16S ribosomal RNA". It matches the Rfam family "Archaeal small subunit ribosomal RNA", at positions 748 to 1008 of the family's 1478-position model. The record is from RNAcentral.
CAGCCGUAAACUAUGCGCGUUAGGUGUACUGGUGACCACGAGUCACCGGGGUGCCGAAGGGAAACCGUGAAACGUGCCGCCCGGGAAGUACGGUCGCAAGGCUGAAACUUAAAGGAAUUGGCGGGGGAGGCACCACAACGGGUGGAGCCUGCGGGUUUAAUUUGGACUCAACGCCGGAAAUACUCACCGGAUAGGACAGACAUAUGAUAGUCGGGCUGAAGACUCUACUUGAUGAUCUGAGAGGAGGUGCAUGGCGUCAGUGACU